UACGGAGGGGGCUAGCGUUGUUCGGAAUCAUUGGGCGUAAAGGGCGCGUAGGCGGCCACGCAAGUCGAAUGUGAAAUCCCUCGGCUCAACCGAGGAACUGCAUCCGAAACUGCGAGGCUCGAGUCCUGGAGAGGGUAGUGGAAUUCCCAGUGUAGCGGUGAAAUGCGUAGAUAUCCGGAGGAACACCGGUGGCGAAGGCGGAUCUCUGGGCCUGUCCUGACGCUGAGGCGCGAAAGCUAGGGGAGCGAACAGG
RNAcentral lists this ribosomal RNA (253 nucleotides) under uncultured bacterium. RNAcentral describes it as "partial 16S ribosomal RNA". It matches the Rfam family "Bacterial small subunit ribosomal RNA", at positions 524 to 776 of the family's 1533-position model. The record is from RNAcentral.